Molecule: long non-coding RNA, 219 nt
Organism: Lagopus muta (rock ptarmigan)
Lineage: Eukaryota; Metazoa; Chordata; Aves; Galliformes; Phasianidae
Exons: 3
Source: RefSeq, a predicted model, not a curated record
GGUGCCCAUAGCUGCUAAGAGCAGACAACAGGUGUAAAUCAACAGCUUUAUAGGUUGCUUUCACGGUCCAGGCAAUGAUGUGAACAAGAGCUAUCGAAUGCUCAGGGAUGAAGAUGCCUGCUGGGACCCUUACACCUGCUGCUGAAACUGAGAAGAGGGUGGGAUUUUGGCCAUGUCUCUGUGUAGUGAAUACCCUGUUUGCUCCAUCUAAAUAGCUCA